UACGGGGGGGGCAAGCGUUGUUCGGAAUUACUGGGCGUAAAGGGCUCGUAGGCGGCCAACUAAGUCAGACGUGAAAUCCCUCGGCUUAACCGGGGAACUGCGUCUGAUACUGGAUGGCUUGAAUCCGGGAGAGGGAUGCGGAAUUCCAGGUGUAGCGGUGAAAUGCGUAGAUAUCAGGAGGAACACCAAUGGCGAAGGCAGCUCGCUGGGACGUGACUGACGCUGAGACGCGAAAGCGUGGGGAGCAAACAGG
Molecule: ribosomal RNA, 253 nt
Filed under: uncultured bacterium
Lineage: Bacteria
Description: partial 16S ribosomal RNA
Rfam family: Bacterial small subunit ribosomal RNA
Source: RNAcentral